AUUGAACGCUGGCGGCAUGCCUUACACAUGCAAGUCGAGCGGCAGCGCGGGGGCAACCCUGGCGGCGAGCGGCGAACGGGUGAGUAAUGCAUCGGAACGUGUCCUUUUGUGGGGGAUAACCAGUCGAAAGACUGGCUAAUACCGCAUGAGCUCGAGAGAGGAAAGCAGGGGACCGCAAGGCCUUGCGCGAGAGGAGCGGCCGAUGCCCGAUUAGCAGUUGGUGAGGUAACGGCUCACCAAGGCGACGAUCGGUAGCUGGUUUGAGAGAACGACCAGCCACACUGGGACUGAGACACGGUCCAUACUCCUACGGAGGCAGCAGUGGGAAUUUUGUGCAAUGGGGGAAACCCUGACACAGCGACACCGCGUGAGCGAAGAAGCCC
RNAcentral lists this ribosomal RNA (383 nucleotides) under uncultured bacterium. RNAcentral describes it as "bacterial SSU rRNA". It matches the Rfam family "Bacterial small subunit ribosomal RNA", at positions 29 to 416 of the family's 1533-position model. The record is from RNAcentral.